UCUCCUACAUCAAGAGAGGGCUAAAAGCAAAAUGUUAAUACAUUGUUGGUUGUUAACGAGAUGGUUCCACCAACCAAUUCUCGUACCCAUGUUGUCAAUAAUACCCACAUCAAUAUUAUUAUUUGUGUUGGGAAUUUCAGAUAACUUCAGUUCCUUUGGCUCAAGUUGUCCAUGACCGUGGACACGGCUAAUCGAUUAGGUUU
This 203-nucleotide long non-coding RNA is filed under the name Hordeum vulgare. RNAcentral describes it as "long non-coding RNA (HVUL_LNC008922)". Lineage: Eukaryota; Viridiplantae; Streptophyta; Magnoliopsida; Poales; Poaceae. The record is from RNAcentral.